This 1344-nucleotide long non-coding RNA is filed under the name Gouania willdenowi (blunt-snouted clingfish). Its description in RNAcentral is "lncRNA (ENSGWIG00000018962.1)". Lineage: Eukaryota; Metazoa; Chordata; Actinopteri; Blenniiformes; Gobiesocidae. The record is from RNAcentral.
AGUUAAAGGUUCAAUUUUUCGGGUGACGGGUGAUAACUUGGCUUUACAUGGCCUGUUUGGCUUUGUUGAGUCUUUUAGUGCCAAUUAUUCUUGUCGCUUUUGUUUAACUGAUAAAACAGAGUUGCAGACCGUUUUUAGUGAAGAUCAUCCCGGUUUAACUUUACGUUCAGAAGACCUCCAUUCACAACACUGCAGUGCCAUUCAACAUAAUCCUGCACUAGUUCAUACAUAUGGUGUCAAAAGAACCUGCCUACUCAAUUCCCUUCAGCUGUACAAUACUUCAAACAAUUUUGCAGUUGAUAUAAUGCACGAUCUAUUGGAAGGGGUGGUGCAGUAUGAGUUGAAGCUUUUGUUUCAGUACCUGAUUAAGAACUUCAUAUCCUCAAAUUCAUUGUUGGAGAGAGUUAUGAGCUUUAACUAUGGAUACACUCAGAGAAAAAACAAACCAAGUGUGUUAAAAUUGGAUGCUAAUGGCAAAGAUCUUGGGCUCAAUGCCAUUCAGUCUUGGUGCCUUUUACGAAAUACCCCAUUAAUGUUUGGAGAUUUGAUUAGUCGAAGCGAUGACUGCUGGAACUUGCUGCUACUCCUCAUACAAAUUGUGAAUAUUGUAUUUGCACCGAGUGUAACCCAUGGUAUGACGUGCUAUUUGAAGAAUCUGAUUAUGGAUCAUCACAGACUCUUUAAAAAUCUCUUUCCAGAGCGAAAUCUGAUUCCAAAGCACCACCUAAUGAUCCAUUAUCCUCGUUGCAUCAGAAAAAUUGGGCCACUCAUUCACAUGUGGUGUAUGAGGUUUGAAGGAAAACACAACUUUUUAAAAAAAUCUUUAAAGAACUUUAAAAAUAUCACCAAAACACUAGCAAAGAAACAUCAGAACCAGUUAGCUUUUCAUUUUGAGAACUUUUAUUUCAAACGAUUUGAAUUCGGCUCUAUAAAUGAAAUCUCGGUUUGUGAUUUGGAGGGCAGUGAAGCUCUAGCUCAAACAUUUUAUGAGACUGGUCUUGUUUCCACAACCUCUUGGGUCAAAAACUAUGGUACUGAGUAUCAGGUUGGGAUGUACGUAUGCACUAGGGUCCACAAUGAGAUGCCGUUAUUCAACAGGAUUGUCAGAAUAAUUAUUUCAAAUGACAGUGCAUAUCUUCUCACUUGUAAAGUCUCAAAGUUGUAUUUUGAUGACCAUCUAAAUGCGUUUGCAAUCGAGGAAAACCGUUAUUGCUUCACAUUGGUUUGUAUUGACGAUCUUUUUUACUACAGACCGUAUGACCGCCAGUUUGCCAAUGACUGAGCUAAUGUACAUUGUGCCGUACAGUGUUAUAAUCAAUUGUUAAACAUCUUUGUUGGAGGGGG